This 386-nucleotide ribosomal RNA is filed under the name uncultured bacterium. Its description in RNAcentral is "bacterial SSU rRNA". It matches the Rfam family "Bacterial small subunit ribosomal RNA", at positions 509 to 893 of the family's 1533-position model. The record is from RNAcentral.
CAGCAGCCGCGGUAAUACGUAGGUGGCAAGCGUUGUCCGGAAUUAUUGGGCGUAAAGCGCGCGCAGGCGGUCCUUUAAGUCUGAUGUGAAAGCCCACGGCUCAACCGUGGAGGGUCAUUGGAAACUGGGGGACUUGAGUGCAGAAGAGGAAAGCGGAAUUCCACGUGUAGCGGUGAAAUGCGUAGAGAUGUGGAGGAACACCAGUGGCGAAGGCGGCUUUCUGGUCUGUAACUGACGCUGAGGCGCGAAAGCGUGGGGAGCAAACAGGAUUAGAUACCCUGGUAGUCCACGCCGUAAACGAUGAGUGCUAAGUGUUAGAGGGUUUCCGCCCUUUAGUGCUGCAGCUAACGCAUUAAGCACUCCGCCUGGGGAGUACGGCCGCAAGG